RNAcentral lists this ribosomal RNA (253 nucleotides) under uncultured bacterium. RNAcentral's name for it is "partial 16S ribosomal RNA". It matches the Rfam family "Bacterial small subunit ribosomal RNA", at positions 524 to 776 of the family's 1533-position model. The record is from RNAcentral.
UACGGAGGGGGCUAGCGUUGUUCGGAAUUACUGAGCGUAAAGCGCACGUAGGCGGCUUUGCAAGUCAGAGGUGAAAGCCCGGGGCUCAACCCCGGAAUUGCCUUUGAGACUGCAUCGCUAGAAUUGUGGAGAGGUAAGUGGAAUUCCGAGUGUAGAGGUGAAAUUCGUAGAUAUUCGGAAGAACACCAGUGGCGAAGGCGACUUACUGGACACAUAUUGACGCUGAGGUGCGAAAGCGUGGGGAGCAAACAGG